GCUGAAAGCAUCUAAGCGCGAAGCCUACUUCAAGAUAAGAUUUCCCACCGUAAGGUUAAGAUCCCAGGAAGACUACCUGGUUGAUAGGUCGAAGGUGUAAGUGCAGUAAUGUAUUUAGCUUAACGAUACUAAUAGAUCGAGGACUUGACCAAG
Molecule: ribosomal RNA, 153 nt
Filed under: Romboutsia maritimum
Lineage: Bacteria; Bacillati; Bacillota; Clostridia; Peptostreptococcales; Peptostreptococcaceae
Description: partial 23S ribosomal RNA
Rfam family: Bacterial large subunit ribosomal RNA
Source: RNAcentral